This 463-nucleotide ribosomal RNA is filed under the name Streptomycetaceae bacterium 'ARUP UnID 647'. RNAcentral describes it as "bacterial SSU rRNA". It matches the Rfam family "Bacterial small subunit ribosomal RNA", at positions 27 to 504 of the family's 1533-position model. The record is from RNAcentral. Lineage: Bacteria; Bacillati; Actinomycetota; Actinomycetes; Kitasatosporales; Streptomycetaceae.
GGACGAACGCUGGCGGCGUGCUUAACACAUGCAAGUCGAACGAUGAACCGGUUUCGGCCGGGGAUUAGUGGCGAACGGGUGAGUAACACGUGGGCAAUCUGCCCUGCACUCUGGGACAAGCCCUGGAAACGGGGUCUAAUACCGGAUAUGACCACCGGCCGCAUGGUCUGGUGGUGGAAAGCUCCGGCGGUGCAGGAUGAGCCCGCGGCCUAUCAGCUUGUUGGUGGGGUGAUGGCCUACCAAGGCGACGACGGGUAGCCGGCCUGAGAGGGCGACCGGCCACACUGGGACUGAGACACGGCCCAGACUCCUACGGGAGGCAGCAGUGGGGAAUAUUGCACAAUGGGCGCAAGCCUGAUGCAGCGACGCCGCGUGAGGGAUGACGGCCUUCGGGUUGUAAACCUCUUUCAGCAGGGAAGAAGCGCGAGUGACGGUACCUGCAGAAGAAGCACCGGCUAACUAC